AUUAGCCCCUGGAGAGGGUUUGCUUGUCCUCGGCUGCUCGACGGUGGCCAGGUUAGCUGAACAGGAUGAGCUCUGGGAUGAUGGGCUUACACCGGGAUGGAGCCGUGCCUGAUCAGCCUAUUCAUCAAAAGCAAGGGUGAUGACUGUGAUUUACAACUGUCUGUCUAAGUCUGUCUUGCACUGAGAGGCAAAUUAAAGUACAGCUUCACAGAGGCAUUGCUGCAGUCUUAUUUGAAGCAGAGGAAGGUUCUAGCUGCUGGAAAGGCCAGAGGAAUAGGCUGCAGAGGUGGGAGGAACCGGGUUCUUGGGAGAUCAAAGUGGAGGUUCAGGAAGAAGAGACCAUUUCCGUGAGGGUGGGGGUCAGAGAAACUCUGGACCGGAGCAGGGGAAGUUUCCCAAGGUGAGGGAGUGAGUGGAAAGGGAGAGCAGGGCUCCAGCUAGUUCAUCCAUCUCUGUCUGUUUUAGGGGGAGAUGCUGGCUGGGAGCACUAAAGAUGGAUGAGGCAUGCAGCGCUAAAUCCUGCCCUGUCCAGUCAGUCACACAGCCGGGCCGGGUAAUUAAAUAGUGUGUUGGCUACGGGCAGGGACAGACUGACCCACUCCCUUUUUUCGGCGAAUAGAGAUGCAGAGUUGGACCAGUGAGGACGGAUCGGCCAAAUAACACCUGACAUGCAGAGGAGAGAUAUGAGGAGAUAACUACUCCUGUUGCCCCACAACUGGCCAUCCAGAACUCACUUUAAUCCACAUCUCUUGAUACGCUUCCAAGCUUUUGAUCCAUUUUAGUUAGCUUUGAACAUUAACACACAGACAUUUGGUUGUGUUUUUGGCCGACAGUGCUGAGAGUUCACCACAUCUCAGCAAUCAAUCAAUCAAUUUUAUUAAAUUUUUUGUCACACGAAAUCGUACAAUGUACAAUUCCAGGGAAAUGUUAUCCCAUCAGCUCCUUAAACUUGUGAAUGGUUUAUCAUAAGGCAGAAUGUGGCUGUCAGAUCGGCACACAG
Molecule: long non-coding RNA, 1000 nt
Organism: Sander lucioperca (pikeperch)
Lineage: Eukaryota; Metazoa; Chordata; Actinopteri; Perciformes; Percidae
Exons: 2
Source: RefSeq, a predicted model, not a curated record